RNAcentral lists this ribosomal RNA (340 nucleotides) under uncultured Desulfobulbus sp. RNAcentral describes it as "bacterial SSU rRNA". It matches the Rfam family "Bacterial small subunit ribosomal RNA", at positions 1041 to 1382 of the family's 1533-position model. Lineage: Bacteria; Pseudomonadati; Thermodesulfobacteriota; Desulfobulbia; Desulfobulbales; Desulfobulbaceae. The record is from RNAcentral.
CUGCAUGGCUGUCGUCAGCUCGUGUCGUGAGAUGUUGGGUUAAGUCCCGCAACGAGCGCAACCCUUGCCUUUAGUUGCCAGCAGUUCGGCUGGGCACUCUAAAGGGACUGCCGGUGUUAAACCGGAGGAAGUGGGGAUGACGUCAAGUCCUCAUGGCCUUUAUGACCAGGGCUACACACGUACUACAAUGGCCGAUACAAAGGGCAGCGACACUGCGAGGUGAAGCCAAUCCCGUAAAAUCGGUCUCAGUCCGGAUUGGAGUCUGCAACUCGACUCCAUGAAGUUGGAAUCGCUAGUAAUCGUGAAUCAGCAUGCCACGGUGAAUACGUUCCCGGGCCUU